ACGGCUACACUUGAUCCAUGUCACCGGUGUGGCGCCCCGCCUCCAUCUCCUUCGUUGAUCCCUUCUCUCACCGUCGACCGACCAUGCCCCUUCCCUUCUCCGCACCGGUCCUCCACCGCCGUCCCUCCCACCAUGCUGGUGCGCCGUUUCGGCACGGGAAAGAAGCUCCGUGAAGGCAUCGUCUCGGUGGUAUGUACUCACACGAACUAGUUUGAUUGAUCGAAUAUUUGAUUUAGUUUUACUGUCCUAUUUUGAUUUGCAUUAGUUUGGGUCCACUGCUUGCUUCAAUGUAAUUUGUUUGAGUGUGCCUACGUUAUAUCCGAUGUGUAAUGGAUCUUUUUGCCAUCUAUGAAUUUUGAUUAAUUUUAUGUGCAGACCUCAAUAACUUGAUUCUAUUGGUGGUAAUAUGAGUUUCGACAUGAUUUCAAACCGCAUGCUUCCAUCGGAGUAUAUAUCUGUCUCAAACUAAAAAUGUCCAUGCUUCUUAGUUUUGUAGCAUCUAUAAUGCUAUACAAAUGCUUCUGGACUCUGAUUUUUUUUCUCUUCCUAAUGCCAAAUAAUAACAAUGGAGAUCAAUCUAUAUGUUGGUGAUUCAAAACAUCCAUCCUUUGGAGGC
Molecule: long non-coding RNA, 616 nt
Filed under: Hordeum vulgare
Lineage: Eukaryota; Viridiplantae; Streptophyta; Magnoliopsida; Poales; Poaceae
Description: long non-coding RNA (HVUL_LNC015659)
Source: RNAcentral